UGAUGCCAAGAAUGCAACCAAAGACCAAGCCGAAGCUGACAAUGAAGGAAAAAUUGAGAAAAAAGAGGAAAACAAGGCCGAAGAGGAGGCCAAAGAUGAAGCUAAAGAUCAAGCCGAUGUAAAAAACGAUGCUAACGCAGAAGAAGAAGCUAAAGCCAAAGAGCAAAACGCUAACAAUGCUGAAGCCACACUUAAAAGUGAAGCCAAUGAGGAUGCUAAAGCUGAAUUUGAUGACAAAUCUAAAGCAAAAGAUGAUGCUAAAGCCAAGGAUGCGGCCGAAGAAGAAGCAAAGGAUGAUGAAAAAGCUAAGGACAAAGCGUUGGAUGAUGCAAAGACCAAAUCCAAAGAUGAAGCCGAAGCUGAUUCUGAAGCUAAAGAUGAUGCAGAUGCAGCAACUAAAGAAGAAAAU
Molecule: long non-coding RNA, 409 nt
Filed under: Zostera marina
Lineage: Eukaryota; Viridiplantae; Streptophyta; Magnoliopsida; Alismatales; Zosteraceae
Description: long non-coding RNA (ZMAR_LNC001487)
Source: RNAcentral